Molecule: long non-coding RNA, 522 nt
Organism: Cebus imitator (Panamanian white-faced capuchin)
Lineage: Eukaryota; Metazoa; Chordata; Mammalia; Primates; Cebidae
Exons: 5
Source: RefSeq, a predicted model, not a curated record
ACCAUAGAAACUUGAUUUGAAUACAAGGAGAAAAUAUCGAAAUUCAUCUCUUUUGAAAAACAAGAAUGAAAACCACCAACUCCCCCCGCCAUAAAAAUGACUCUCUGCACCACUAGUUUGGAGAAGAGUCUGACAAACAUUUGAAGUGAUAUAAUAAGGUUUGGCAUAAAAUAGGAAACCAGACAAGUUCUUCCAAUAUUUUAUAGUCUCUUCAAAACCAAGUAACAGAGACUUGGCAGGAGCCCAUUUUAUACUUGGAGACUUAGUCUGACAGAAAAAUAUGCACCAGAACAAAUAUUCAUAAUAAAAGCAUGACCAACUGCUCCUAUCACCAGCUUACCCUUGUGUACUAUUAAGGAGGAUUAUAUCAUCUGAGAUCUAGAGAAAGAGCCUCCUAAGAAGAAAGAACAGAAAUGCCAAAACCUUAUAUCACAAGCAAGUUUGAGAUUUUUAAGUCUUGGGAGACCGGGUUCACUUGGCGACAGCCACAUUCUGACAGGCAGAAGCAAGAAGCAAAUUAUU